ACCAGGUUAAAGGGAGUAGUUAUAUUUUUUACAGGCAAAUCCGUAAGAAAUGACGAACCUGAUAGUACAGCAAAGCUUCGGCAGAGCUGAUAGCGAUCCUAAUCAAACCUCCGAGAAAAACUUCUAAGUUAUGUUUAAAGCAGCCCGUACCGCAAACCGACACAGGUGGGUGGGAUGAAUAUUCUAAGGCGCUCGGGUGAGCCGUGGAGAAGGAACUAGGCAAAUUGACGCUGUAACUUCGGGAUAAAGCGUACCCUCUACGUAAGUAGAAGGUCUCAGUAAAAUGGUGCAACCAACUGUUUAGCAAAAACACAGGGCCCUGCAAAAUCGAAAGAUGACGUAUAGAGCCUGAUACCUGCCCGGUGCUGGAAGGUUAAGGAAGGGUGUUCGUCGCAAGACAAAGCUCCUGACUGAAGCCCCAGUAAACGGCGGCCGUAACAAUAACGGUCCUAAGGUAGCGAAAUUCCUUGUCGGGUAAGUUCCGACCUGCACGAAUGGUCUAAUGAGUUGCACACUGUCUCCUCCACGAGCCCGGUGAAAUUGUAGUAUCGGUGAAGAUGCCGGUUACCCGUCACGGGACGGAAAGACCCCAUGAACCUUCACUACAACUUUGCAUUGAUUUUGAAUUUUUGAUGUGUAGGAUAGUUGGGAGACUUUGAAGCGGUGUCGCUAGGCAUCGUGGAGUCAACGUUGAAAUACCAACCUUUAAACAUUUAGAAUCUAACCCGCCAACGGCGGGCACAGUGCAUGGUGGGUAGUUUGACUGGGGUGGUCGCCUCCUAAAAUGUAACGGAGGCUUGCAAAGGUUCCCUCAGUACGGUUGGUAAUCGUACAUAGAGCGUAUUAGUAUAAGGGAGCUUGACUGUGAGACUUACAAGUCGAGCAGGGACGAAAGUCGGCUAAAGUGAUCCGGUGGUUCUGUAUGGAAGGGCCAUCGCUCAAAGGAUAAAAGGUACUCUGGGGAUAACAGGCUGAUCUCCCCCAAGAGCUCAUAUCGACGGGGAGGUUUGGCACCUCGAUGUCGGUUCGUCACAUCCUGGGGCUGGAGAAGGUCCCAAGGGUUCGGCUGUUCGCCGAUUAAAGUGGCACGUGAACUGGGUUCAGAACGUCGCAAGAUAGUUCGGUCCCUAUCUGUGAUGGGCGUUAGUAAAUUGAGAGGACAUGACCUUAGUACGAGAGGACCGGGUCGUAUGUACCGCUGGUGUAUCUGUUGUGCCGCCAGGUGCAAUGCAGAGUAGCUAUGUACAGGCAGGAUAAACGCUGAAAGCAUCUAAGCGUGAAACCUUCCUCAAGAUGAGUUUACUUUUAAGGGUCGUCGAAGACUACGACGUUGAUAGACUAUAGGUAUAAAGGUGGUAACAUCAAAGCCGAGUAGUACUAAUUACCCGUUAGCUUUACC
Molecule: ribosomal RNA, 1399 nt
Filed under: metagenome
Description: bacterial LSU rRNA
Rfam family: Bacterial large subunit ribosomal RNA
Source: RNAcentral